UACGGGAGGCAGCAGUGGGGAAUAUUGCACAAUGGGCGCAAGCCUGAUGCAGCCAUGCCGCGUGUAUGAAGAAGGCCUUCGGGUUGUAAAGUACUUUCAGUCGUGAGGAAGGUGUUAAGGUUAAUAACCUUAGCAAUUGACGUUAGCGACAGAAGAAGCACCGGCUAACUCCGUGCCAGCAGCCGCGGUAAUACGGAGGGUGCGAGCGUUAAUCGGAAUUACUGGGCGUAAAGGGCACGCAGGCGGUUAAUUAAGUUGGAUGUGAAAUCCCCGGGCUUAACCUGGGAAUGGCAUUCAAGACUGGUUAGCUAGAGUCUUGUAGAGGGGGUUAGAAUUCCAUGUGUAGCGGUGAAAUGCGUAGAGAUGUGGAGGAAUACCGGUGGCGAAGGCGGCCCCUGGGACAAAGACUGACGCUCAUGUGCGAAAGCGUGGGGAGCAACAGGAUUAGAUAC
RNAcentral lists this ribosomal RNA (452 nucleotides) under uncultured bacterium. RNAcentral's name for it is "bacterial SSU rRNA". It matches the Rfam family "Bacterial small subunit ribosomal RNA", at positions 340 to 785 of the family's 1533-position model. The record is from RNAcentral.